This 232-nucleotide ribosomal RNA is filed under the name uncultured bacterium. RNAcentral's name for it is "partial 16S ribosomal RNA". It matches the Rfam family "Bacterial small subunit ribosomal RNA", at positions 102 to 334 of the family's 1533-position model. The record is from RNAcentral.
ACGGGUGAGUAACACGUGUCCAACCUGCCGUCUACUCUUGGACAGCCUUCUGAAAGGAAGAUUAAUACAAGAUGGCAUCAUGAGUCCGCAUGUUCACAUGAUUAAAGGUAUUCCGGUAGACGAUGGGGAUGCGUUCCAUUAGAUAGUAGGCGGGGUAACGGCCCACCUAGUCUUCGAUGGAUAGGGGUUCUGAGAGGAAGGUCCCCCACAUUGGAACUGAGACACGGUCCAA